Molecule: long non-coding RNA, 764 nt
Organism: Notolabrus celidotus (New Zealand spotty)
Lineage: Eukaryota; Metazoa; Chordata; Actinopteri; Labriformes; Labridae
Exons: 2
Source: RefSeq, a predicted model, not a curated record
CAAGGAGGGUUUAAGUUGGAGCCUAGAUAUCAAAUAUUGUUCUGCUGCUGCAAGAAACAUUACAAACUUGAGUUGCCUGUCUUAAGAGUUAGGUAACAUAAAUACAGCUUGUUAGUUUUCAUUUUACCCUGCAGGCUCCACCAACAUGAAUGUCUAUCUGAGCAUGAAACCCACCUCGCUCCAGCCGUCCGUGCACUGAUCGGUCCCCACAGAGCAGCACGACGAGGGCAGCGUCCCAUUCAGAACAUCAAACCAGUCUGUUUUAUUGGUCACUCCACAGCAUUUAAACUGGGAGCAGAGACAAGAGGCGACAGGAAGAAACAGAGAGGAGACAGAGAGGAGACAGGGAGGAGACAGGGAGGACAGUCAGACCAUGAGGGUACAAUGUGAAAUCUCUGCUACAUUGAGGAAGAAAACAUCUGGCUGUAGAAAUAUGAAGAGGAUUGUGACAGUAUCGAGUCAGUGACGUGUUCAGUAUAACAGAUGUGGCUUCAGCAGGCAGCGCUGCUCCUUCAACACUCCCAGACACCCCAGGAAGCCUGUCACCAUGGUGAUGCCCCCUGCGACCAGCAGCAGAUUGGCGGCGGAUAGAGACGGGAAGGAGAGAGGAAGAGAGGAAAACUCGGCCUGCGUGAAGGAAAGCCACACGCCAACCCCGAACAAACCGCAUCCCCCCAGCUGAUCAGGAAACACAGAGACAGAGAGGACGGGAAGGAAAGGUCAGAGGUCAGAAAAAGUAAAGAGAAGAUAAUCCAAAAUUGUGA